Molecule: unclassified non-coding RNA, 2130 nt
Filed under: Stegodyphus dumicola
Lineage: Eukaryota; Metazoa; Arthropoda; Arachnida; Araneae; Eresidae
Description: rUN and FYVE domain-containing protein 2-like, transcript variant X1
Source: RNAcentral
AUGGCUAAAGAUACAAUUUAUCUAUGCAAUUUUCGAGUUUCUGUUGAUGGUGAAUGGCUUUGCCUUAGGGAACUGACUGAUGUCCAGUUUGAUUUAACUCAACCACCUCCUCCUGAAAAGCCUUAUGAAGUCAAAGAAGAAAGAGAUCCUGUUUCAAUAGAGAGGUCAAACCUUCUUAAUGUGAUAAAGCUGGUUAUUAAAGAACUCAUUGAAUCAUCUUUAAAAUAUGGUCGUCAACUUGAUUCUGAUCAUGUUCCUCUUCAGCACUUUUUUAUUCUAUUAGAACAUGCUAUGAGGCAUGGUUUAAAACCUAAAAAAGGUCUGUUGGGUCCAAAAAAAGAAUUGUGGAAUGUCUUGGAAACUGUAGAAAAAUACAUGCCUGAAGCUUCUGACAUAACAUCAAGUGUAAGAGAACUUCCUACUGUAAAAACUCAUUUGGGAAGAGCAAGAGCAUGGUUGAGGUUAGCUUUAAUGCAAAAGAAACUUGCAGAUUACUUUCGAAGGCUAAUUGAUAGAAAGGAUGAAAUUUUAAGGGACUUUUAUGAAAGAGAUGCUUUAAUGAUGUCUGAAGAAGCUGUAAUUGUUGGUGGCCUUCUUGUAGGACUAAAUGUUAUAGACUGUAAUUUAUGUGUGAAGGAAGAAGAUUUAGAUUAUCAGCAAGGUGUCAUUGACUUCAGUUUGUAUUUGAGGGAAUCAAAUGGCGAAGUACAAGUACCAGAAGGGGUUGAUACAAAUAAUUUUACUGCUGUCUUGGAUCAAAAAAAUUAUAUUGAAGAACUGAAUCGACACCUUAAUGCUACUGUAACAAAUUUACAACAAAAAGUAGAACAACUACAGACAACUAAUGCCUUGAUGAAAGAAGAUUUAGCUAUAUCAAAGAAUCAAAUAAUAACAUUACAAGAUGAAAAUGCUCAGCUUCGUAAACUGUGUGAUCAACUAACAUUAGAAAAUAAAAAGAAACUCGAAGAAGUUAAAGUAGAUAUGAUUGCAGAGAGGGAAACAUACCAGACAACUCAAGUUGGUCUUGAUUCUAUGUAUACAGAUAUUAAAAAUCAGCUUCAAGAGGAAAUUUCCAAAAGGCAGGUUGGUUUUACAUGGAAUGAUCCAAUGCUAACUUCUCUACAGGAGCUAGAAGUUGAAUGUGAACUACAAAGGACUUUGAGAGAUGAAGCAGAAGUAGCCAUGAAACUUCUGGAGAAAGAUAUACAUGAAAAACAGGACACCAUUCUGUCAAUGAGAAGACAACUAGAGGAUAUUAAAGCUAUAAAUCUGCAACUUUAUAACAAGUUACAGGAAUGUGAGAAAGCUCUAAAGACAAAAUCUGAAUAUGCCUCUGAAUUGGAAGCAAAAGUUGUUGAACUGAACAAAUCUCUUCAUGAGCUGGAGGAUAAGAGUUAUGAUCUGGUGAUUCUCAAAAGUAAAAAUGAGGAGCUAGUCAGGAAGUUUGGUGCUCAGUUAGCCGAAAAAGAUCAAAUUAGGUCAGGCUUGGAGUCAGAUCUAAGAAUCGAAAGAGAACUACGUACAUCUUUGCAGUCUACUGUUGAUGGGUAUGAAAAACAGAUAACUAAUCUCAAAGAUACUGUAAAGAAACUACAAAUCAUGGCACAAGAAUAUGAAAAGUUGAAAAUUAAUCAUUCACAACUGCAGAAGUUACACGAUGAACACGAAAGAACAUUAGAAGAAAUGGGAACUCAGUUAAAAGAAUCAAAACUAAAAAUAGAAGAUAUGAAGGAAAAUCAAAUGGCUCUGAAGGAAGCAGUCUGGACUCAUGAUAAACAAGCAACAAUAUGUAGACAAUGUAAUAAAGCUUUUUCAGUAGCAAGGCGAAAGAGGCGUAGCUAGGAUUUUCAGCGCCCGAGGACAACUGGAGAUUUUGCACCCCUUUCUGUUUGCCACGAAUGGAAAACACUUUAUUCUAAAAUUUCGUACCAUCAAUUUGGCACCCCCUGGAUGCUGCGCCCGGGAACAGAUGCCUCCCUUGCCUCACCCUAGCUAUGCCACUGUUCAAUCAUCAUUGUAGGCAUUGUGGUGACAUAUUUUGCAAUGCAUGUUCAGAUAACACUAUGCCUCUACCAUCUUCAGCAAAACCAGUCAGAGUUUGUGACGUAUGUUAUACCCUUCUACUGCAGC